This 448-nucleotide ribosomal RNA is filed under the name uncultured bacterium. Its description in RNAcentral is "SSU rRNA". It matches the Rfam family "Bacterial small subunit ribosomal RNA", at positions 26 to 518 of the family's 1533-position model. The record is from RNAcentral.
AGAGCGAACGCUGGCGGCAUGCUUAACACAUGCAAGUCGCACGGGCACUUCGGUGUCAGUGGCGGACGGGUGAGUAACGCGUAGGUAUCUAUCCUUGGGUGGGGGACAACGGUUGGAAACGACUGCUAAUACCGCAUAAUAACUGAGGUUUAAAGGCGCAAGUCGCCUGAGGAGGAGCCUGCGUACGAUUAGCUAGUUGGUGGGGUAAAGGCCUACCAAGGCGACGAUCGUUAGCUGGUCUGAGAGGAUGAUCAGCCACAUUGGGACUGAGACACGGCCCAAACUCCUACGGGAGGCAGCAGUGGGGAAUAUUGGACAAUGGGCGAAAGCCUGAUCCAGCAAUGCCGCGUGUGUGAAGAAGGUCUUCGGAUUGUAAAGCACUUUCGACAGGGACGAUGAUGACGGUACCUGUAGAAGAAGCCCCGGCUAACUUCGUGCCAGCAGCCGC